UUCAGACUUUGCUCAGCCAUUCAAAGGGUCGCUUCUGAUGGACUGUUUAAUCAUACAGCUGAUAUUGAAGGUUUUAUUUCUGCUAUUGAUGUCCCCCUUAAAAUAACUGAACCUGCAGUGUGACCUGUGUCCAGUAGUGCAGCUUCAUGUCACCCAGACCCGGACAGACACAGCCCUACAGCAGCUCCCACACCUAAACCUGAAAUUCUGGCUCCAUCACUGUCCUUCAUCGCUGUGGCCAUGCCAGGCUCGGUCAGCUGGUUUACAUCACAGGUACAGCAAAUAAAACCCCACAGAUGCGUUUAUUUCAGCCAUUUAUUUGCAUCUCUGUGGAAGAAGCGGUUUCACACUUUAGCAGUGAGCUUUAUCGGCUGAGGUCCCAACCACUUCUCUCCUGAAAAAGAAGGAUGGGAUAUGGUGGCCAUGUGAUGACACACUGGGUGCAGCGCUCCUGUCCUUCAGCAGAUAGGUUCUGCUAAACAUGUGUAAGGCAGCCAGAGCAUUUCUAAACAUGGUUACAUAUUCAGGGAGAUAACAUUAAUUUAAGAAAAAAUAAAUACCAUGAACAUGAGAAUAUGUUAGAGUCCUGAGAUAUGGAUGAAAUGAAAUGAUUAAAUUAAAUAAAAAAAUUAUCUUUACCGGAAUGUCUUUCAAGUUUAAGAGCACAUUCAAAAAUUUCACUUACCAAUUUUCACUACAUUAAAUGCAGUUAGUAAAUUUAACAUAGUGUAGGAUGUGACGAGUCAGGUUUUACGUAAUAUCAAUUUUUGAUUUCUUAGAAAAAUUGAGGCAUGUUUUGUUUAAAUAAUUUGAACCUGGAAUUUUACUCGGCACUAUUUAAAAACAAAUUAUCACUAUUUGCAUUUCCGAAUACAGUGAGUUUCAGUGACUUGCUUUCAUUUCAAAUUAAUUACUCUGAAAUCAGUAAUGUCACCGAGUUACUAAAAUUUCCGUAACAAUAGCAGUUCUGUAACUGUACUCCAGAGAACUUCACUAAUGUCAAGGAUGCUCGGAUGACUGACCUCUUAAGAAAGUGACAAUGUGACGAGAAACAAACUGAGUGACGAUUUCAGGGUAAUCACCUAUGCAGUGGGCCAUGAGCUCGAAUCGGUCAGAUCCAAAAAACAUCUCCCGCUUUCCGUCUACGUGACACACGAUGAGGGGAAAGCCAAAGGCCUACAGCAGAAACAUGGCUGAGGCAACCUCAACAACAUCAGAGAUAAGCAGCACUGAGACAGGUUCUUGUGACACAAGGUGCACAUUCAUUUACAAGACAUUUUUGUCCAAAGUGAUGUACAAGUAAGGAUCAAAGAGCAGGGUCAUACAGUCUCCCUGGAGUAACUGGGGGUUAGGGGCCUUGCUCAGCGGCCCAGUGGUGAUAUCAUUUCACCAGCUAGGGAAUUUGAAACUGCAACUUUCUGAUCGUAGGCACAGAGCAUAACCUGCAAGCCACAAGCUGUCAUUCAGCACCCAAAUGUAAUGACUAGAUAAAAGAGUUUGAGAAGAGUAUAUAUUUAUAAAGGCAUACAGGGACACAUUUAUUUAAUACAUUUAUUUGGCAGUCAAUCACAAACAUGAGUCAAGUCAGUCAAUUUACUGUAUAGUGAAAUCGUAUAACUAGCAACCCAAUAAGUACGCAUGGGCAUCGUUAGGUCUGAUCAGUAUUUUUAAGCCGAGCCUCGAGUAUUUUAGCCCCAAUGCCAAUCUUCCUUCCAAAAAAAAAUCAAAAAGCCAAACCCCAGGUAAACUUGACUUCAAUAGCUAGAAACACCCCUGUAAGUAUGUACUUACCUGCUUUAAUAUUUAUGGUCCUGAAACAUGUUAUUGCCCUCUCUAUCUGAUGCAAUGUUGAAUGGCUGAUCCCUCACCAUAUGACACUAGAUACAGCGAUGCACUGCGGAACAAUAAUGAAAAACAUUCCCUUGUUUAUCAGAGUCCCCGCCCACUCCAGCAAUUUGAUUGGUGCAAGGAUCCCAUGUGGGCCACACAGCACAGCCUGUAAAAGUAAAUAUCAGCAUGAUGUGAGACAACAGUUGUCAAAACUGACAUCAUUUCAAACUGACCCCAUAGUCCAGUGCUUCCUGGGUUACGCUCUUCAGUUUGUCCUUGAUCUUCUCAGAGGCCAUCAACUGCAAAAGCUCCUCCACUUCCCUAGCAGAAAUUCCUGCCUUCAUCGCAGCCUGGAGUUAAAAUGACAAAAAUGAGAUAAAGGGCCUGCAGAGAUUUACACAGCAGCAGCGAUGAAGAUACUGCUCCAACUGGCACCUGAGAGAGCGAGGCAGGCAGGGUGAUGUCUUCGUCUCGACACCAGAUCCUCAUCCACAUCUCCCUGGAGACUCUCUCCACACUCGGCUCAUCAGCUCCGUAUCUCUCUCCCACAGCAGUUACGAAGCGCAUAGCUGCAAGUGAACCUGGCGACCCAGGUACAGAAAGGAAUCAGACCGAGUUCAGCUGGAUACCACUAACGGAACUUCCGUACUUCCAGGAGAGUUUGUACACCUAUAUCAUCAUCCAGCUAAGAAAACAGGACUAAAAACGAUAGUUUUGUUAUUUUUAAUUAACAACCCAUAAAUAAUGACCACACAAAUUACAUUUGUUGCAUUGGUAUUCUUCUUCUUCAUCUUAUUAUUAUUAUUAUUAGUUGUAGUAAUAGUGGUACAUAAAAUGAAGAGGAAAAGUGGGGUACCCUUCCGGAACAUGACCUCAGCAGGAUCGGUAGGAAAACUAAGGGGAACCGUAAAGUACUCAGCCAGCCGAAGUAGGUCUGUUCCCAUGUAGUGAAACUUGUUAGGGAUUAACCCAGGGGGGUUAUUGCCUGUGGAAGGCCAUAAACGGAAGUCAACAUGUUAUGUUUAUACAGUGAACCUUACAAUGCAUCAACAGACUGUAAUAGCUACUAAUGCGUUUAUUUUUUUAUUAUUAUUAUUAUUAUUAUUAUUAUUAUUAUUAUUAUUAUUCAUUUUCGUUUACACUCCUCUACCUGCUGCAAAGUUAAAAUGUUCAAAUAUCGCUAUUUACCGGACCCCUUCAUGACCCCUCCUAAAAAUGCAGGGCGAAGUUUAAGGUCAAUGUUCCAAACAGCUCUGUAUCGACAGAGAACCUACAGGAAGAAACAAAAAAAACCUUUAAAACUAACUGAUCGUCAAAUUAAUGUCUAAACAAAACAUAUUAAAAUUUGACAUUUCGUUUCAUCAUUUUCUGAAUAUUCACCUGCCAACAAAGACAAACACUAACCUCGAAUCCCAGCCAGGAGUAAGGGGAGACGACAUCAUAAAACAGCUCGAUUACUUUCCGGGAAGCCAUUAUCUGGAAAUGAUUUUAGAGUAUGUAACAGGUACUAAUGUAAAUUCUAUAUAUAUGAAUGCGCCUUUAAACAAUGUUAUCAUCUCUUGCUGAAGUAUUAUCCUUCGCAGCUGUAACUAUACCUAACAGUAUCGUUUCGUGCAAACAUUAAAUCACUUAACGUAGCAAUGCAAUGUACUUUUUUUGUGUUUUACCAUGUGGUAUUACUAUGUUUAACGCAUUAAAGUCGCUGUUUGUCUAUACUUACUUAACUCGUACUUGUGAGAGAAGACGGUACCAAAGGUUACCCCGGAUAUGAACGGAUUGGACUACGGGCGCCUCUUCCUGUACACUAUCACAAUGCGGUUUUCUCCUUGAGAAACGAUCGCUGCAGACAGAGAGAAUGAGGGAUCCUAAAGCUGUAUCUACUGCUGUGAAUGAGUGAUGAUACUAGGAAAGAGGAAGAGGAUCUGGUCAAGAAGUGCAUGUGUUGGCUUACAGGACUUUGGUGUGCAUCAGUACAUCAGAGCGCUGAACUGACUUUGGAUCUGAAACAUUCUCUGUAGAUCUUCGUUUCCAGGUCUCUCUCCAUGAUGUCGUAACUCUCUGUAGCUUGUCCUGGCUCACAUAAGCUGGGACUAAUGGCAGCGAACUUCUCCAAAGGCGGAUCUAUCCAGUAGCCUCCGCAUUUAGGGGGAAUGAUCAAAGGGAGGACCCCACUAAUUUUUAAAAGCUGUGAUUAAAGAAAAAAAAAGUGGGAAAUCUUAGCAUUGCUACCCAUUUACUCUGCAAUCUAACAUACUUAAGGUUUUGGAAUCAAGUUCUUGCAAGUGAACGCAUGACCAUCUCACACAGAGCUGGACAUCUUGAAUGUUUCGUUAUAACGAUCCUACCUUCACGGGAGGAGGGAAUUCGCAGCGCUGCUCGUCAAGCCGACUUCCCUAAUGGAAAAAGCUCGGCAUCCUUGACCAGAAGAGGAGGAAGCAAAUGUCAGUCGACACAGAAGUAGUUUCACGUGGUGGAAUCCUCAGUUAAAAAGCAGAAGCUUACCCUCUGGCCGGAAG
Molecule: long non-coding RNA, 4346 nt
Organism: Brienomyrus brachyistius
Lineage: Eukaryota; Metazoa; Chordata; Actinopteri; Osteoglossiformes; Mormyridae
Exons: 4
Source: RefSeq, a predicted model, not a curated record